Bradysia coprophila is the source of this 212-nucleotide long non-coding RNA. Lineage: Eukaryota; Metazoa; Arthropoda; Insecta; Diptera; Sciaridae. The record is from RefSeq and is a predicted model, not a curated record.
UCGAACUUAAAAACAGGUCAUAGGUGAUUUUUAAAAGCUAUGCGUUAAAUGAUUCAGUGGACCUUCCUGAGUCAUAUGCAACAAGAAUAAAUCCUCGAAGAAAUUAUGUUUUCACGCUAGAAAUCACGAAAAAAUGGUCUGCAGUAGGGUAGCCAAAAUAGUUUUUGUUGUAUAUCACCGACAAUACGUAACGCAUUUGUCUGAAAUUAAAG